RNAcentral lists this ribosomal RNA (961 nucleotides) under metagenome. Its description in RNAcentral is "bacterial LSU rRNA". It matches the Rfam family "Bacterial large subunit ribosomal RNA", at positions 1950 to 2925 of the family's 2925-position model. The record is from RNAcentral.
CCUAAGGUAGCGAAAUUCCUUGUCGGGUAAGUUCCGACCUGCACGAAUGGCGUAACGACUCCCCUGCUGUCUCAACCACAGGCCCGGUGAAAUUGCAGUACGAGUAAAGAUGCUCGUUACGCGCGGCAGGACGAAAAGACCCCGGGACCUUCACUAUAGCUUGGUAUUGGCAUUCGGUGCGGUUUGUGUAGGAUAGGUGGGAGACUAUGAUGCGGCCACGCUAGUGGUUGUGGAGUCGUUGUUGAAAUACCACUCUGACCGUAGUGGAUGUCUAACCUUGGCCCAUGAUCUGGGUUGGGGACAGUGCCUGGUGGGUAGUUUAACUGGGGCGGUUGCCUCCCAAAAUGUAACGGAGGCGCCCAAAGGUUCCCUCAGCCUGGUUGGUAAUCAGGUGGUGAGUGUAAGUGCACAAGGGGGCUUGACUGUGAGACUGACAGGUCGAGCAGGGACGAAAGUCGGGACUAGUGAUCCGGCACCUACUUGUGGAUGUGGUGUCGCUCAACGGAUAAAAGGUACCCCGGGGAUAACAGGCUGAUCUUCCCCAAGAGUCCAUAUCGACGGGAUGGUUUGGCACCUCGAUGUCGGCUCGUCGCAUCCUGGGGCUGGAGUAGGUCCCAAGGGUUGGGCUGUUCGCCCAUUAAAGCGGCACGCGAGCUGGGUUUAGAACGUCGUGAGACAGUUCGGUCUCUAUCCGCCGCGCGCGUAGAAACUUGAGGAAGGCUGUCCCUAGUACGAGAGGACCGGGAUGGACGUACCUCUGGUGUGCCAGUUGUCCCGCCUGGGGCAUGGCUGGUUGGCUACGUACGGAAGGGAUAACCGCUGAAAGCAUCUAAGCGGGAAGCCUGUUCCAAGAUUAGGUUUCUUUUGAGGUCCCCUAUAGAUGAUGGGGUUGAUAGGCCGGAUCUGGAAGCAUCGUAAGGUGUGGAGGUGACCGGUACUAAUAGACCAAACAUUCAACACA